RNAcentral lists this ribosomal RNA (254 nucleotides) under uncultured bacterium. Its description in RNAcentral is "partial 16S ribosomal RNA". It matches the Rfam family "Bacterial small subunit ribosomal RNA", at positions 99 to 354 of the family's 1533-position model. The record is from RNAcentral.
CGGACGGGUGAGUAACGCGUGGAUAACCUGCCGUAUACCGGGGAUAACACUUAGAAAUAGGUGCUAAUACCGCAUAAGCGCACAGCUUCGCAUGAAGCAGUGUGAAAAACUCCGGUGGUAUACGAUGGAUCCGCGUCUGAUUAGCUGGUUGGCGGGGUAACAGCCCACCAAGGCGACGAUCAGUAGCCGGCCUGAGAGGGUGAACGGCCACAUUGGGACUGAGACACGGCCCAAACUCCUACGGAAGGCAGCAG